GGUUGAAUGUCUGAGUGGUCUAAAGAGUACGCCUCGAAAGCGUAUGAAGCCCAUGGCUUCCGGGAGUUCGAAUCUCCCUUCAACCGCCA
Molecule: transfer RNA, 89 nt
Filed under: Aeriscardovia sp.
Lineage: Bacteria; Bacillati; Actinomycetota; Actinomycetes; Bifidobacteriales; Bifidobacteriaceae
Description: tRNA-Ser
Rfam family: tRNA
About the family: Transfer RNA (tRNA) molecules are approximately 80 nucleotides in length. Their secondary structure includes four short double-helical elements and three loops (D, anti-codon, and T loops).
Source: RNAcentral